Spodoptera frugiperda (fall armyworm) is the source of this 1077-nucleotide long non-coding RNA. RefSeq lists it as uncharacterized. The record is from RefSeq and is a predicted model, not a curated record. NCBI's taxonomy places the organism in Eukaryota, Metazoa, Arthropoda, Insecta, Lepidoptera, Noctuidae. The transcript is spliced from 5 exons.
CCUAGUUUUCGUUCGUUUACAAAAUGUACCUAAUACAAAAUAUAGGACAUUUGAGAUCAUUCUAGGAUCGAUAAAAUUAAAAUGAGAUUACAAUAAUAAGGAAGGCAAAUGGCGUGCUAGGUGCAAUAGAAAUUAAACGAUGUUGGAAUAUCAGUAUUAAAUCCUAGGUUUCGUUCGUUUACAAAAUGUACCUAAUGCAAAAUAUAGGACAUUUGAGAUCGUUCUAGGAUCGAUGAAUUUAAAAUGAGAUUAGAAUAAUAAUGAGGGCAAAUGGCGUGCUAGGUGCAAUAGAAAUUAAACGAUGUUGGAGUACCUAUCAGUAUUAAAUCCUAGGUUUCGUUCGUUUACAAAAUGUACCUGAGAUUAGAACAAUAAUGAGGGCAAAUGGCGUACUAGGUGCAAUAGAAAUGAAACGAUGUUGGAGUACCUAUCAGUAUUAAAUCAUAGUUUUCGUUCCUUUACAAAAUGUACCUGAGAUUAGAAUAAUAAUGAAGGAAAAUGGCGUGCUAGGUGCAAUAGAAAUUAAACGAUGUUGGAAUAUCAGUAUUAAAUCCUAGUUUUCGUUCGUUUACAAAAUGUACCUAAUGCAAAAUAUAGGACAUUUGAGAUCAUUCUAGGAUCGAUGAAAUUAAAAUGACAUUACAAUAAUAAUGAAAGCAAAAGGCGUGCUAGGUGCAAUAGAAAUUAAACGAUGUUGGAGUACCUAUCAGUAUUAAAUCCUAGGUUUCGUUCGUUUACAAAAUGAACCUAAAAAAAAAUAUAUAGGACAGUUGAGAUCGUUCUAGGAUCGAUGAAAUUAAAAUGAGAUUAAAAUAACAAUGAAGGCAAAUGGCGUGCUAGGUGCAAUAGAAAUUAAACAAUGUUGGAAUAUCAGUAUUAAAUCCUAGGUUUCGUUCGUUUACAAAAUGUAACUAAUGCAAAUUAUAGGACAUUUAAAAUCAUUCUAGGAUCGAUGAAAUUAAAAUGAGAUUACAAUAAUAAUGAAAGCAAACGGCGUGCUAGGUGCAAUAGAAAUUAAACGAUGUUGGAAUAUCAGUAUUAAAUCCUAGGUUUCGUGCGUUUACAAAAUGUACCUAA